GAAUUGACGGGGGCCCGCACAAGCGGAGGAACAUGUGGUUUAAUUCGAUGAUACGCGAGGAACCUUACCCGGGCUUGAAUUGCUGAGGAAAGAUCCAGAGAUGGUGAUGCCCUUCGGGGCCUCAGUGAAGGUGCUGCAUGGUUGUCGUCAGCUCGUGCCGUGAGGUGUCGGCUUAAGUGCCAUAACGAGCGCAACCCCUCUCUUCAGUUGCCAUCAGGUUAAGCUGGGCACUCUGGAGACACUGCCACCGUAAGGUGUGAGGAAGGUGGGGAUGACGUCAAAUCAGCACGGCCCUUACGUCCGGGGCUACACACGUGUUACAAUGGCCGGUACAGAGAGUUGGACACCCGCAAGGUUGUUCUAAUCACUAAAUCCGGUCUCAGUUCGGACUGGGGUCUGCAACCCGACCCCACGAAGCUGGAUUCGCUAGUAAUCGCGCAUCAGCCAUGGCGCGGUGAAUACGUUCCCGGGCCUUGUACACACCG
This 485-nucleotide ribosomal RNA is filed under the name uncultured Prevotella sp. RNAcentral describes it as "bacterial SSU rRNA". It matches the Rfam family "Bacterial small subunit ribosomal RNA", at positions 907 to 1392 of the family's 1533-position model. The record is from RNAcentral. Lineage: Bacteria; Pseudomonadati; Bacteroidota; Bacteroidia; Bacteroidales; Prevotellaceae.